GCCGGGUGCAGUGGCACAUGCCUGUAAUCCCAGCGGCUUGGGAGGCUGAGGCAGGAGGAUUAUGAGUUCAAAGCCAGCCUCAGCAAAAGCAAGGCACUAAGCAACUCAGUGAGACCCUGUCUCCA
RNAcentral lists this small RNA (125 nucleotides) under Marmota monax (woodchuck). Lineage: Eukaryota; Metazoa; Chordata; Mammalia; Rodentia; Sciuridae. The record is from RNAcentral.